AACGAACGCUGGCGGCAUGCCUAACACAUGCAAGUCGAACGAGACCUUCGGGUCUAUUUGCGCACGUGUGCUUAACGCGUGGUAACCUGCCCUUAGGUUCGCUAUAACUCCCCUUAAGGUGUGCUCAUACCGGUUAAUCUCUUCCGACCAAAGAUUUCUCGCCUUUGGUUGGGCCCUCGUUGGAUUCGCUAGUUGGUAGGGUAAAAGCCUACCAAGGCGUCGAUCCAUAGCUGGUCUGAUAGGAUGAUAAUCCACACUGGGGCUGAGACACGGCCCAGACUGCGACGGAAGGGAGCAGUGGGGAAUAUUGGAGGAUGAGGGAAAGUCUGAUAAAGCAGUGCCGCGGGAGAGAUGAAGGGGGUAGGGUUGUAAAGCUCUUUUACACGAGAUGAUAAUGACAGUACCGGGAGAAGAAGCACCGGCUAACUACGUG
This 433-nucleotide ribosomal RNA is filed under the name uncultured bacterium. RNAcentral's name for it is "partial 16S ribosomal RNA". It matches the Rfam family "Bacterial small subunit ribosomal RNA", at positions 29 to 507 of the family's 1533-position model. The record is from RNAcentral.